Molecule: ribosomal RNA, 253 nt
Filed under: uncultured bacterium
Lineage: Bacteria
Description: partial 16S ribosomal RNA
Rfam family: Bacterial small subunit ribosomal RNA
Source: RNAcentral
GACGGAGGGUGCUAGCGUUGUUCGGAAUUACUGGGCGUAAAGGGCGCGUAGGCGGCCUGGUCAGUCGGGUGUGAAAGCCCGGGGCUCAACCCCGGAACGGCACCCGAGACGGCCAGGCUGGAGACCGGGAGAGGAGGGUGGAAUAGCCAGUGUAGAGGUGAAAUUCGUAGAUAUUGGCUGGAACACCGGUGGCGAAAGCGGCUCUCUGGCCCGGUUCUGACGCUGAUGUGCGAAAGCGUGGGGAGCAAACAGG